Molecule: ribosomal RNA, 274 nt
Filed under: uncultured bacterium
Lineage: Bacteria
Description: partial 16S ribosomal RNA
Rfam family: Bacterial small subunit ribosomal RNA
Source: RNAcentral
CCUGCCGGCGACCGGCGCACGGGUGAGUAACACGUAUGCAACCUGGCCGUGACAGAUGGAUAACCGGGAGAAAUCCCGCCUAAUACAACAUAAUGCCGGGAGGGGACAUCCCCUGCCGGCCAAAGGGGGCGACCCCGGUCACGGAUGGGCAUGCGGCGCAUUAGGUAGUUGGUGGGGCAACGGCCCACCAAGCCGACGAUGCGUAGGGGUUCUGAGAGGAAGGUCCCCCACAUUGGAACUGAGACACGGUCCAAACUCCUACGGGAGGCAGCAG